CAUGUACUUCCUCCGUCCGGAAAUACUUAUCGAUGAAAUGGAUGUAUCUAGACAUAUUUUAGUUCUAGAUACAUCCGAUUUUAUCUAUUUGUGCGACAAGUAUUUCUGGACGGAGGGAGUAGAUG
Molecule: non-coding RNA, 125 nt
Organism: Triticum aestivum (bread wheat)
Lineage: Eukaryota; Viridiplantae; Streptophyta; Magnoliopsida; Poales; Poaceae
Source: Rfam